GCUGAUUGUAAGGUAAAGCCCUGGGCUGGU
RNAcentral lists this non-coding RNA (30 nucleotides) under Homo sapiens (human). Lineage: Eukaryota; Metazoa; Chordata; Mammalia; Primates; Hominidae. The record is from RNAcentral.